GUCCCUUCGGGGACAUUCGAUAAAAUUAGAAGUAGAUUAGCAUGGCCGCUGCGCAAGGAUGAUUCACACAAAUCAAGAAAUGGUUCAAUUUUUU
Triticum aestivum (bread wheat) is the source of this 94-nucleotide non-coding RNA. The record is from Rfam. NCBI's taxonomy places the organism in Eukaryota, Viridiplantae, Streptophyta, Magnoliopsida, Poales, Poaceae.